Molecule: ribosomal RNA, 55 nt
Filed under: Termitomyces sp. 97
Lineage: Eukaryota; Fungi; Basidiomycota; Agaricomycetes; Agaricales; Lyophyllaceae
Description: partial 18S ribosomal RNA
Source: RNAcentral
UGGAAGUAAAAGUCCGUAACAAGGUUUCCGUAGUGAACCUGCGGAAGGAUCAUUA